GCAAACUUGGUCAUUUAGAGGAAGUAAAAGUCGUAACAAGGUUUCUGUAGGUGAACCUGCGGAAGGAUUAUUAACGAGAAAACUGCCUUUUAGGUAGAUCUCCUACCCUUUGUCUCAAUUACCUUUGUUGCUUUGGCAGGCCCGUCUUCUAACUACCGGCUUGAGCUGGUCUGUACCUGCUAGAGGAUACCAAACUCUUAAUUUCAAGUUGUCCAAGUCUUAUAAAAUAGUAAAAACUUUCAACAACGGAUCUCUAGGUUCUAGCAUCGAUGAAGAACGCAGC
Molecule: unclassified non-coding RNA, 283 nt
Filed under: uncultured fungus
Lineage: Eukaryota; Fungi
Description: partial contains small subunit ribosomal RNA, internal transcribed spacer 1, and 5.8S ribosomal RNA
Rfam family: Eukaryotic small subunit ribosomal RNA (bases 1-73)
Source: RNAcentral